Molecule: long non-coding RNA, 315 nt
Filed under: Saimiri boliviensis boliviensis (Bolivian squirrel monkey)
Lineage: Eukaryota; Metazoa; Chordata; Mammalia; Primates; Cebidae
Description: lncRNA (ENSSBOG00000036726.1)
Source: RNAcentral
CACUGUCGUCUUCCUGCCAGGGCGCACGCGCGCUGGGUGUCCCGCCAACUGACACUGGGCUCGCGAUUCCUUGGAGCGGGUUGAUGACGUCAGCGUUCGAAUUCCAUGGCUGCGCGGCGGCAACGGAGCACCGGCGGCAGCAGGGCGACAGAAUCUGUGAAGGCCUUGCUGUUAAAGGGCAAAGCUCCUGUGGACCCAGAGUGUACAGCCAAAGUGGGUAAGGUAAGAGACUCUGGAACUGAUCGUCAGUCCAUGGGUGUCUUGGAGAGCGUCCUUUGUGACAAGGACUCUUGUCUGGGAUAUUGUUAGUAUCCG